AUUGGGUCCUCUAGGGGAUUUCUCAACGGAACGUGGUGUUACAGAACCGAGAGUGCAGGGCGGCCGCCACCAUGAGACUCCACCAGUGUUUGCAAUUGGAGGCUAGAAUCAAGUCACGGAGGUUCGCUGGCGGUUGUGGAGUCUAAUUCAUGUUCCAAUUGAGCUCGGGAACGACCGGUUGAUGGCCAUGGCCAUCGGGGAACGCGAGAGAAAGGGGCAGAGAGAGAGAGAAGCUCCGCCGCUAGGGAGCGUGAUGGCCAUCACCGUCGCCCUGUGCCUUGGAUGUUGCCCGGCACCCACGGAUGGGUCAGGACCACUCGCCGGUGCGUGUGGGUGCUCAUUGGGGCUUCGGCGGGCUAGGAGCGCUCGCUGGGGGUGGUGGAAUUCCUCGCCGGAGAGGGAGUUGCGCCGCGGGACCGCCUGCUACCGUGGCCAUGACAACCUGUGCCACAAUCCGCGGUAUGUUUAACUCCCUUGUGUUCUCCAUACAAUUCUCCACAUGUGCGCGCCCUAGAUCGGAAAUGAGUCACGGGGAAUCGGAAUCUGGUGAUCUCCUAUGAUGGCGCGCCGCCGUGGGCCGUGGUGACGGGGAGCUGUACCGCUGUGGCCAGCUGCGGUGUAGGAGAAGAAUGCGGCUCGUCCGUUGGUUGAUGAGCGCCUAGGAUUAGAUUUGGCAUAGGAUGGCCCUCGUCCGUCGAUCAUGUAGCAAACGACCGCGAUUAGAUGUGUGUACCCCUUCACGCAUGAUUAAAUCCUGGCCGCUAACUCUAGAUCGUGCGGUCGGGUUUUGAUCCUGUUUUUAUAACACGAGGUGCCGUUGGAUUCAGAUCCGAGGGCGAUCGUGAGAUAUCGGUUUGUUUUGGGCAGAAGUCUAAUCUCGCGCGUCUGUGUUUGAUCGAACGGUCCCAAUUGCCAGAUACCCCUUCGGAUAGCGAUUUUGCAAAAGAGACCCCCUACUAUACUAGUAUCAACCCGCAGUCCACCUGGUGGGUCGUCUGAGUCUUAGGAUUAGUUACACCUAGGCCCCUGAGUUUUCUGGAAAAUGAGGCCGAGUCCAGAGAUGUUUAAAAACAGAGAAAUAUUUAUAGAAAUUCAUUUUUAAUACAAAAACAAAUCUAGAAACUUGUAAAAUUCAUAGAAAUUCCAUUUUUGAUCUAAAUUGAACCAUUCCAAUUUCUAAAAUUUUGUAAUAAUAUUCUCUAUCACUUAAGAGUCUCUGUUUUGUCAUAAAAACAGUAAGAAAAUUAAUUUCUCAUUUAAUCCUAUUUCAAUCACAUUAAAUCUUAGGAAAUUCAUAACUUGAAAUCUAUAACUCCAAAUUUAAUGAUUCCAGUUCCUAUGAUCUCAUUUGAAUGUGUAGAUUUUUACUGUAUAUUUUAUUCAUCUGUUUGGUGUGAUGUUGAUUUUGGCUAUACUAUGUAUGUAUUGUGUUGAUGCGAAUAGACGAGCAAACCACUGUGGAUUCUGAGGUUCAACAAGUAGAGAUAGCUGAGCAGGAGCUCACUGAAGGCAAGUUGUGCCCUUGAUCACUUACUUUCCCAGCCAUGUUCUUAUUAAUUUUAAUGAUCUGCAUAGGUUAAUUUUGAUGGGAGCCAUUAUGUUACCCCAGUUUUGAUUACCUCUAUACCUUGUUCACCCCUGAAACAUUUUUGGGUAGUACUUGCUAUUGCUUUAUGUGGAUUGGGUAUGGAGAUACACUAUUCAUGAUUAUUCUGUUAUUAUCUUGUUAUUAUUAUUGUUCAUGUUAAGAUCAUUAAAUUAAUGGGAACAUGGAGCGACCACCCGGGAAAACAGUGCUACCACAAGGGUUUAAUGGGACGCCCUUGGCUGAUUAACUAGGAAAGCUAGUGGAAGACUACCUUACCCGGAAGGGGCAAGGGCAGUAGGGGAGAGGUCAGUGCGGGGAGGUCCCUGGUUGAUUUUGCUGCGAUGGCUAUCAGCCAGGAACCCUUUACUGGAUCUUCCCAUAAACUGUAGCGGGUUUUCGGAAGCUAGUGGAACUUUGUAAAGGCCUCGUAGUGGAUCCCUAGCCAUUCACCUCGGUAGUGUCUAAGGGCCUUGCAAACCCAGGCGACAUGGGAUACACGACUUGUGGGUAAAGAUGCGCAACCUCUGCAGAGUGUAAAACUAGUAUACUAGUCGUGCUCACGGUCAAGAGCGGCUCGGACCCUCACAUGAUUAAAUUAUGGAACUUAAACUCAAUCUGUCAUUUCAUUGCAUCUGGGAUUAUUUCAUUGUUACUUUUAUUAUUUCUAAGGUUUGGUAUUUACUUACACUUAGUAAUUGCUAAUAAAAUUUUGACCAACUUCUAAAAGCAAUGCUCAGCCUCAGCCCUUACUUUGUUGAUCAGCCUUACACUUCAUGAACUCCCACCUUUGGUGAGUUCAUGCCACAUUAUUCCCCACGACUUGUUGAGCUAUGAUCGUAUGUGAGCUCACUCUUGCUGUCUCACACCCCCCACAGGAGAAGAACAGGUGGUCGAAGAGGAGCCGCCUAGCACCGAGGAGUUCGAUCUGAUCUAGGUGGCGUUUCUCAGUUGACAUUGGCGCCGACGAUCCUUAGUUCGUUUUAUAAUUAUUCUUUUAUUUUGUAAUAAGUCUUCCGCUAUGUAAUAAAUACUCUGAUGUUUUAUGACAUUUAUCUCUAUACACUCUGUUAUUAUAUAUGUUGUCUUCUUUGGCGCAUGUAUGAGAUGCACCCGGCUUUGUUCUUUAAAACCGGGUGUUACAGAAGUGGUAUCAGAGGAAUGUUGACUGUAGGACGAAACCUAGAUAGAAAUGGACAACCCUUACCUACUUAUCUCAUUCUGAUUCAUUCUAUACUUACCUUACUCUGAUUCUUUCUACACUUAUCUUGAUCCUGUCUCACCUUCUACUGUUCUACUCUGAUCAUUCUUACCUUUUCUACUCUAAGACAAGAUGGAUUUCACACCUUGGAAUCCUGUCACUAUGAUCUUCUUAAGAGAUAGGGAACCUAAGACAAAAAAAUAAUAAAACUAUUUUCUCUAUUUAAAAAUAUUGAUUGAUUGUUCUGAUGAUCAAUGUCUGAUUUGCUUCUUUGAUUGAUUGAAAUAGUAUAGACGGGCAUCUUAGCAUGUACCACCAGUAGGCAAUGUAUUAGCUUUAGUGGAUAACACACUAAUCCACUUAGCUAAUAAAUCCCCCGCAGUAACAUUUCACGUAAUUACUCGCCUUGUCUACAAUUCUUCCUUUCUUACCCUACAUUCCUAACCCAAAUGUGCUACCCCUAUACUGUUAGAAGAGAGCAGUAUAGAUAUUGAUCCUUGGUAUGUCAUGGUUAAGAAAGGCAAAGGCAGUAUAUACACUGUGUUAAGGGAACCGUAGAACUCAACAGUUCCAAAGGACAAAGAUUUGAAUUUGAAGUUGCAGUAACUACCACCAUCAGACUAGCGACAUUCUUAGUAGAUGAGAAGUUGGUGGGUGACAACAUCCGUGCAGUUAGAGAUUUUCGGAUGUCUUUCCAGAGGAGUUACUAGGAAUGCCACCAGAUAUGGAAGUUGAGUUUGUCAUUGAUCUCUUACCUGGAACUGCUCCUAUUUCUAAAUGGACAUAUAAGAUGUUUGUAGAAGAGUUAAAGGAACUUAAGAAGCAGUUAACUGAGUUACAAGAGGCUGGGUACAUUCGUUCGAGUCUUCACCUUGGAGAGCACCAGUUUUGUUUGUGCAGAAGAAAGAAGAAUCGCAAGGGAUGUGCGUGGAUUAUAGGACCCUUAAUGAUGGCACUGUGAAGAAAAAGUACCCGUUACCCCGCAUUGAGGACUUAUUUGGUCAGAUGAGAGGUGCCAGGGUAUUCUCGAAGAUUGAUCCCCGAUCAGGAUACCAUCAGAUGAGGAUUAGACCAUCGGAUAUUCCCAAGACGGCUUUCUCAACUCGAUAUGGAUUAUAUGAGUUUACUGUCAUGUCAUUUGGAUUAACCAAUGCACCAGCUUAUUUCAUGAAUUUGAUGAACAAAGUGUUUAUGGAGUAAUUGGACAGAUUCGUCGUGGUGUUUAUCGACGAUAUUCUUAUCUAUUCUAAGAAUGAAAGUGAUCAUGAACAACAUCUAAGGUUGGUGCUACAGAAGUUACGAGAUAAUCAACUCUAUGCUAAGUUCAGCAAGUGCGAGUUUUGGAUUGACAAGGUGCCAUUCCUUGGUCAUAUUAUUUCUAAUGGAGGAAUAGCAGUGGAUCCUGCUAAAGUGAAGGAGAUAAUGGAGUGGAGAGUGCCCACUACAGUUACUGAGAUUCGGAGUUUCUUGGGACUCGCAGGAUAUUAUCGGAGAUUUAUUGAAGGAUUUUCUAAGAUUGCUAAGCCCAUGACAUCGCUUUUGGAGAAAGGAAGAGAAUUCAAGUGGGAUGAGAAAUGCCAAGAGAGUUUUGAUCAAUUGAAGGAGAGAUUGAUGUCUCCACCAGUAUUGAUUAUGCCAGAUCUGCAGAAGGGAUUUGACAUUUACUGUGAUGCAUGUGGCCAAGGACUUGGAUGUGUGCUUAUGCAAGAUGGUCAUGUGAUUGCCUAUGCAUCUCGUCAGUUGAGGAAGCAUGAAUUGAACUACCCCACCCAUGAUUUGGAAUUGGCAGCAGUUGUGCAUGCGCUUAAGAUUUGGAGACACUACAUUAUGGGGACUAAGUGCCAAGUGUACACGGAUCAUAAGAGUUUGAAGUAUAUAUUCACUCAGAAGGAUCUCAACCUUAGGCAACGCCGUUGGUUGGAACUCAUUAAGGAUUAUGAUUUGGAGAUUCACUAUCAUCCGGGCAAGGCGAAUUUGGUUGCAGAUGCCUUGAGUCGGAAGGAGCAUGUUCACUCCGCUUUCGUUGUCCAACUACCCGAUGAAUUGGCAAAAGAUUUUGAGAAGCUCAACCUGGGAAUUGUUACUCACACUGAAGGAGUCACCAUUGAGUUGGAACCUACCUUGGAGCAAGAGAUUCGUAAAGGUCAGGUUGGUGAUGCUAAGAUUCAAGAGAUUAAGGAUCUAAUCACGGAAGGUCGAGUUCCGGAAUUCACGGAGGAUGAGCAAGGUACUAUAUGGUUCAAAGAUCGGAUAUGUGUUCCAGAGAUUGAUAGCCUCCGUGAGACUAUAUUGAAAGAAGCCCAUGAUUCUAAUUAUUCUAUCCACCCUGGUAGCACUAAGAUGUAUCAAGAUUUGAAGCAAAAGUAUUGGUGGUAUGGACUGAAAAGAGAUGUUGCUGCUCAUGUGGCUAAGUGUGAUGUGUGUCAAAGAGUCAAGGCCGAACAUCAAAGACCCGCUGGACUAUUGCAUCCAUUGAAGAUACCUGAGUGGAAAUGGGAAGAAAUUGGUAUGGAUUUUAUUGUUGGAUUACCCCGCACUCCUGCUGGGUAUGACUCUAUUUGGGUAAUUGUGGAUAGAUUGACAAAAGUGGCUCAUUUCAUACCUGUGAGGACUAAUUACACGGGAGCCAAGCUAGCAGAAUUGUAUAUGACUCGGAUAGUUUGUCUACAUGGAGUACCUAAGAAGAUCGUGUCUGAUCGAGGAUCACAGUUUACCUCUCGAUAUUGGAAGAAGUUGCACGAGUCCUUGGAUACAAGAUUAAAUUUCAGUUCGGCUUACCAUCCACAGACUGAUGGGCAGACAGAGAGGACUAACCAAGUGUUAGAAGAUAUGUUAAGAGCUUGUGCUCUUAAACAUGGUGGAAGUUGGGAUAAGAGUUUGCCGUAUGCUGAGUUCUCUUAUAAUAAUAGCUAUUAGACCAGUUUGAAGAUGUCACCGUUUGAGGCCUUAUAUGGCAGAAAGUGCAGGACUCCACUGUAUUGGGAUCAAACUGGUGAAAGCCAGUUGUUUGGGCCUGAGAUUAUACAAGAAGCAGAGGAACAAGUUCAGCAAAUAAGGGAGAAUUUGAGAACUGCACAAUCCAGGCAUAAAAGUUAUGCUGACACCCGGAGAAGACUGCUUGAGUUUAAGGAGGGUGAUUAUGUCUAUUUGAAGGUGUCACCACUCCGGGGUAUGAGAAGAUUCAAAGUCAAAGGAAAGUUGUCCCCUCGCUUUAUUGGACCCUUCUUAAUCUUAAAGCGAGUGGGAGAGGUUGCAUAUCAAUUGGAGUUACCGGAUCAUCUUGCGGAUGUUCAUGAUGUAUUCCAUGUAUCUCAGCUGAAGAAAUGUCUUAGGGUACCUGAAGAACAGUUACCAAUGGAGGACCUUAGUGUUCAAGAGGAUUUGACUUAUGCUGAGUACCCCAUCAAGAUUUUGGAUACUUUGACUCGAGUUACGAGGAAUAAGGUUAUAAAGAUGUGCAAAGUGCAAUGGAGCCACCACGGUGAAGAUGAAGCAACUUGGGAAAGAGAAGAAGAGCUUCGUAUAGAUUUUCCCCAUCUUUUCCCUAGAUCUUCUUAAAUCUCGAGGACGAGAUUAUUUUUAAGGGGGGUAGGAUUUGUAAUACCCAAUUUGUAAAAAAUAUUAUAAAAGAAAAAAAAUAUUUUCCUUUAUUUAUAUGUGUGUGUUGUAUCUAUUUAUUAUCACAUGUGAACACCUCAUUUAAAAAAAAACAAAGGAUUAAUAAAAGUCAUGCCAUUAAAUUGUGCAUCAUGCUGAGGUUUCAUUUGGUGUGCAUUUUGUGACAAUAUAAAAUAAUAAUGUGACAAGAAAUAUAUUAAAAGUCCAGAGAGGAAUUUAAAAUCUAAAAGAAAUUCUAUAAUUUAGAGAAGAGAAGGUAGAGAUAUUAUAGAACACAAAAUAAAGCCAUGACCAAAUUCAGUUCACUAAAAUGAUCAAUUUGAAUAUUUGAACUUAGUACAAAUUUUGAGGAGGAAUUGGAAUUCAAAUUCUAGGGUUGAAAGUAUAAAAAAACAAAAAAAGAAUUAAAACAGAAAAUAAAAAGGGGGAGAGUUUACCUGGGCCGGCUUACCACAUUUUGGCCCACUAGGGGAAGCCAUAUGCGCGGCCCACUUAUCCAUUCCGCGCACACGAUGGGAAUUCUCUCUGGGCGCUGGGCCCGAACUGCUAGUCAAACGCGACCCCGUCCUCCCCGUUGGUCAGGGCGGUUGCAACCGCUCCGAGCGAUAUGGCCGGAGGAGCAGCUGGACCGGGUCCCCACGACCGUCGAGCCCGUCAGCGCCUGGAGAUAAAAUUGGGUCCUCUAGGGGAUUUCUCAACGGAACGUGGUGUUACAGAACCGAGAGUGCAGGGCGGCCGCCACCAUGAGACUCCACCAGUGUUUGCAAUUGGAGGCUAGAAUCAAGUCACGGAGGUUCGCUGGCGGUUGUGGAGUCUAAUUCAUGUUCCAAUUGAGCUCGGGAACGACCGGUUGAUGGCCAUGGCCAUCGGGGAACGCGAGAGAAAGGGGCAGAGAGAGAGAGAAGCUCCGCCGCUAGGGAGCGUGAUGGCCAUCACCGUCGCCCUGUGCCUUGGAUGUUGCCCGGCACCCACGGAUGGGUCAGGACCACUCGCCGGUGCGUGUGGGUGCUCAUUGGGGCUUCGGCGGGCUAGGAGCGCUCGCUGGGGGUGGUGGAAUUCCUCGCCGGAGAGGGAGUUGCGCCGCGGGACCGCCUGCUACCGUGGCCAUGACAACCUGUGCCACAAUCCGCGGUAUGUUUAACUCCCUUGUGUUCUCCAUACAAUUCUCCACAUGUGCGCGCCCUAGAUCGGAAAUGAGUCACGGGGAAUCGGAAUCUGGUGAUCUCCUAUGAUGGCGCGCCGCCGUGGGCCGUGGUGACGGGGAGCUGUACCGCUGUGGCCAGCUGCGGUGUAGGAGAAGAAUGCGGCUCGUCCGUUGGUUGAUGAGCGCCUAGGAUUAGAUUUGGCAUAGGAUGGCCCUCGUCCGUCGAUCAUGUAGCAAACGACCGCGAUUAGAUGUGUGUACCCCUUCACGCAUGAUUAAAUCCUGGCCGCUAACUCUAGAUCGUGCGGUCGGGUUUUGAUCCUGUUUUUAUAACACGAGGUGCCGUUGGAUUCAGAUCCGAGGGCGAUCGUGAGAUAUCGGUUUGUUUUGGGCAGAAGUCUAAUCUCGCGCGUCUGUGUUUGAUCGAACGGUCCCAAUUGCCAGAUACCCCUUCGGAUAGCGAUUUUGCAAAAGAGACCCCCUACUAUACUAGUAUCAACCCGCAGUCCACCUGGUGGGUCGUCUGAGUCUUAGGAUUAGUUACACCUAGGCCCCUGAGUUUUCUGGAAAAUGAGGCCGAGUCCAGAGAUGUUUAAAAACAGAGAAAUAUUUAUAGAAAUUCAUUUUUAAUACAAAAACAAAUCUAGAAACUUGUAAAAUUCAUAGAAAUUCCAUUUUUGAUCUAAAUUGAACCAUUCCAAUUUCUAAAAUUUUGUAAUAAUAUUCUCUAUCACUUAAGAGUCUCUGUUUUGUCAUAAAAACAGUAAGAAAAUUAAUUUCUCAUUUAAUCCUAUUUCAAUCACAUUAAAUCUUAGGAAAUUCAUAACUUGAAAUCUAUAACUCCAAAUUUAAUGAUUCCAGUUCCUAUGAUCUCAUUUGAAUGUGUAGAUUUUUACUGUAUAUUUUAUUCAUCUGUUUGGUGUGAUGUUGAUUUUGGCUAUACUAUGUAUGUAUUGUGUUGAUGCGAAUAGACGAGCAAACCACUGUGGAUUCUGAGGUUCAACAAGUAGAGAUAGCUGAGCAGGAGCUCACUGAAGGCAAGUUGUGCCCUUGAUCACUUACUUUCCCAGCCAUGUUCUUAUUAAUUUUAAUGAUCUGCAUAGGUUAAUUUUGAUGGGAGCCAUUAUGUUACCCCAGUUUUGAUUACCUCUAUACCUUGUUCACCCCUGAAACAUUUUUGGGUAGUACUUGCUAUUGCUUUAUGUGGAUUGGGUAUGGAGAUACACUAUUCAUGAUUAUUCUGUUAUUAUCUUGUUAUUAUUAUUGUUCAUGUUAAGAUCAUUAAAUUAAUGGGAACAUGGAGCGACCACCCGGGAAAACAGUGCUACCACAAGGGUUUAAUGGGACGCCCUUGGCUGAUUAACUAGGAAAGCUAGUGGAAGACUACCUUACCCGGAAGGGGCAAGGGCAGUAGGGGAGAGGUCAGUGCGGGGAGGUCCCUGGUUGAUUUUGCUGCGAUGGCUAUCAGCCAGGAACCCUUUACUGGAUCUUCCCAUAAACUGUAGCGGGUUUUCGGAAGCUAGUGGAACUUUGUAAAGGCCUCGUAGUGGAUCCCUAGCCAUUCACCUCGGUAGUGUCUAAGGGCCUUGCAAACCCAGGCGACAUGGGAUACACGACUUGUGGGUAAAGAUGCGCAACCUCUGCAGAGUGUAAAACUAGUAUACUAGUCGUGCUCACGGUCAAGAGCGGCUCGGACCCUCACAUGAUUAAAUUAUGGAACUUAAACUCAAUCUGUCAUUUCAUUGCAUCUGGGAUUAUUUCAUUGUUACUUUUAUUAUUUCUAAGGUUUGGUAUUUACUUACACUUAGUAAUUGCUAAUAAAAUUUUGACCAACUUCUAAAAGCAAUGCUCAGCCUCAGCCCUUACUUUGUUGAUCAGCCUUACACUUCAUGAACUCCCACCUUUGGUGAGUUCAUGCCACAUUAUUCCCCACGACUUGUUGAGCUAUGAUCGUAUGUGAGCUCACUCUUGCUGUCUCACACCCCCCACAGGAGAAGAACAGGUGGUCGAAGAGGAGCCGCCUAGCACCGAGGAGUUCGAUCUGAUCUAGGUGGCGUUUCUCAGUUGACAUUGGCGCCGACGAUCCUUAGUUCGUUUUAUAAUUAUUCUUUUAUUUUGUAAUAAGUCUUCCGCUAUGUAAUAAAUACUCU
Molecule: long non-coding RNA, 9698 nt
Filed under: Zea mays
Lineage: Eukaryota; Viridiplantae; Streptophyta; Magnoliopsida; Poales; Poaceae
Description: long non-coding RNA (ZMAY_LNC001344)
Source: RNAcentral